UUUUUUAUUUUUUUUAUUUUUUUUAUUUUUAUAAAUCAUUGUUGUUUAAGUUGUCUGUUGAAAUAUAUGAGAUUUUUGUUGGGCACAUUUUACAUAUACCACUAAAUUUGUAGAGAAUAAAUGCAUAUGUCCUACAUGCACACACACAUAGAGAGCCGUGGAACAUGAAUUGUGUUUUUAGAAAGAAGAACCAUAUAAUUAAUAAACAUAUUGGGCGAAGACCAUUUUCACUCACCACAAACUGUAAUAAUAGAUCGAGAUGAAAAAAACAUCAGCUCUUCUAUCUUGGAGUUUAGAACAUGAAUUCUGGCAUAUUUGGUAUCACAUCUAAACUCAGUAAAGCUACCAGUAGAACAAUGUUGAAAGACAUUAUCAUUUUUAGAAGAGUUGAUGUUUUUUACUUUGUUGGUUAUCAAAAGUUGCAUUGUUGUUCUCUACUUUAAUUUGUUGAUGAUUUUAGUGAUGUAGUUCCAAUAAAAUGCAAUCUUUGUUCCCUUGUAUAACCAAGUAGCUCCCCAUAUUAAUUUGUCUUAUGUCGAACCAGUUUAUUUAGGAUUCAUUUGUUAGAGAGAAUUUGAAAACAAAUGAUUCAAUGAGUUUUGUUCUUAUGUUUAGCUUUCCUCCCACUAUUAAUCAUUUUAGUAAAGGUGUUACAAUGUAUGUUCAAGAGUGCAAGCAGUUUAAUUUAGUACAAGCUUCUUAUGAACUUGUGAACCCCUAUCACAUGUUUAUUUAGCAUGCCCUUUUACAUGUUUAUUUAGCAUGCCCUUUUACAUGUUUAUUGCUAUGGUAAGGCUCUUAUGAACUUGUCAACUCCUCUCUUAUGAAUUUGUCAACCCCUCACUAGCAAUCUCAUUUUAGUAAAGGUGUUACAAUAUAUGUUCAUUGGGCUUUAAUGUUUUAUCUCGCACCUACCAAAAUUUCAGUAGGAGUUUCAAACCCUUCCUAAAUCGUUUAGAAUGGUUUUAUGCAUGUUUAGCAAGUUUACUAGGUUUAGCAAUUCAUUAGAAUGUUUUAAUAUUUUAUCUCGCACGUACCUCACACGUAUCAAAAUUUCAAUAGGAGUUUCAAAAUGAGAUUGUUACCCUUCUUAAAUCGUUUAGAAUUUUCCUAUGUAUGUUUAGCAAGUUUAUUGGGCCAUAAUGUUUUAUCUCGCACCUAUCUUGCACGUAUCUCCCACCUACCAAAAUUUCAGCAGGAGCUUCAGAAUGAGAUUUGCUACCCUUCCUAAAUCGUUUAGAAUGGUUCGAUGUAUGUUUAGCAAGUUUAUUAGACUUAACAAGUUUAAUGCCAAUGUUUUAUCUCACAUGUAUCUGAAUUUUAGUAUGAGUUUCAAAAUGAGAUUGCUACCCUUCCUAAACCAUUUAGAAUGGUCCUAUGCAUGUUUAGCUAGUUUAUUGGGCUUUAAGGGUUUAGAGUUAGCAAGUUUAUUAGCCUUUAAUGUUUUAUCUCGUACGUACCAAAAUUUUAGUACGAGUUUCAAAAUGAGACUGCUACAAUUCCUAAACUGUUUAGAAUAGUCAUAUGCAUGUUUAGCUAGUUUAUUGGGCUUUAAGGGUUUAGGGUUAGCAAGUUUAUUAGACUUAGCAAGUUUAUUAGCCUUUAAUAUUUCUACCCUUCCUAAAUUGUUUAGAAUGGUCCUAUGCAUUUAGCUAGUUUAUUGGGCUUUAAUGUUUUAUCUCGCACUUAUCCAAAUUUCAAUGUAUACAUGUUUAGUAAGUCUCUUAUGCAAUGAUAUUUUAUUUGUUUCUUUUUUGUCCAGGCUUCAAUAUGACUUUGACAUCAACUGACGGACCCAUGUACAAGAUUGAUCAUUCUCACAAUUUUCAUGCUUUAGAUUGCAGAUGAUUGGAACACAUUUAACAAUUAUGAUUGAGGAGGCUUGGUUUUUGGACGCACGUUUUGUGCCUUAAAACGAGCCUUGGACAUGCAACAUGCCAAGGGAAAGAAGAAGUCAACUAAGACAAAAUGUACUAUCAUGAGAUUUUUCGCAUGCGUUACAGGUUUGGGCAUAUGAGUCUAUACCAACCAUCACUGAGUGUGGUGUACAUAAAGUAAACAAUGAUUUCAUACCACGAAUGCUAAGGUUGGUGUGUGAACUAUCUCCGAAGUCUCAUGCCCUAGAGCCAGGUGUUUGACUCGCCAAUGUUCAUAAUUAAGACGGUAAUUGAGAUGACGCCUGAAGAGAAGAAACAUUUAAGAAUAUCUUCAGGUGAACUUUUUGACAAACCACAUCCAUCUAACAUCGUUCCUGGAAAGAAUGGUGGUUCAAAACGAGCAAGAGAAGUUAGUAAUGAUGAAGAUGACUGUAAAAAGAGUAAGAAAAAGAAGUGAAAGUCUAAGAUGAAAGAGGUUGUUCGGAAACUCAAAGAUUGAGUAGCGGUUCUUGAGAAUGAACGUGGAAGCCUAAAAUCAAAUGUUGAAGAAUUGAAUGUCAUGGUGUCGACUAUAUUGAAACUCAUUGAACUUGAAAGAAAUGUUAAGAAGUAAAGUUGUUGUUUAACAUUUCCAAAGUUAUCCUUACUAAUAUAUUUUGACAUUUUCAAAGGGUGAAGGAGGCUGCACGGGGUUUGAAGGCCAUAAUGCCCAAACCCAAGAUGUUGACACACCCGGUACUCCUUCUUGGUUGAGGGUGCCAAAGGAGGAUGACACAAAUAAUGGAGUGAAACACGUUGAACUUCAAAAAAAAGGGUGUCGAAGGAGACAACAAGGAGGAUGACACAAUCGACGUGUUGAAGAAGAAGGUUCAUAUUGGUUUGGAGGAGCCAAUAGACAUCGUUGACGAUGAGGUUGAAAUUGAGGAAAUUGAAGAAAAAAAUUCUUACCCAUUUUGAUUCAGAGGUCACGGAAAUAGAACUCUUUUCCACUCAAUGACCACAAGUUUGGCCCGCACGUAGGAAGCGUGCAAUUGUUUACUUGUCAACCCCCUUCACAUCUCUAAUUAAACAGUCUACGAAAUCAACCACCAUCACCUCUCAGUCUCAACCAUCCGUUUAUGAUCCUAUGCACAAAAUACUUGACGUUGAUUUAGAUCGACUCAAAGCUUGGAUUACAGACAAGCGUACAAGAGGUGAAGUGCAUGAAACUUUUCACGGCACAAAAUCGAAGGAAUAUUUCAUAGACUUCUUCAUGUGUUGUCGGUGGUUGGCGGAUGAGCAUUUGGAUGCACUCUUUUUUCUCAUUCGCUUCAAGAUUAGGACAACAAUGAUACCUUCUGCUCAAAACUUCACAACUGUAGACACACUCUUCAUGUGAUCAUUAGUUGCGAAAUGGCCAGAAUACCAAGAAUGUAUUAAAGAGAAUUGACCGUUUGACUGGAAGGAGGAGUAUCAGUUGGUUGACUAUGUUGUCGGAUCAAAACAAGGCUUUCAAGAUCCUUGGACAAGUGUUGAUUACAUUUACUCUCCAUUCAAUAUUUAUGUCAAUCAUUGGGUUCUAUUAUGCUUGGACUUGGUAAGUUGUCAAGUCAAGGUAUGAGAUUCGCUUCUGUCGCUUAUGAGUGUCGAAGAGAUGAGAAGCAUAUUAAUGCUGAUUCAAGAGAUGGUGCCAAAUUUGCUAGAAUACUACUGGAUUCUUUGCUAGAUACUACUGGAUUCUUUGCUAGGAGAGGUGGAUCGUAAACAUACAAGGAACCUUGGCCACUUGUCAUUGUUGACUCCAUUCCACAACGCAACAAUAGUGAUUGUGGUGUAUUCACCAUUAAGUAUUUCGAAUACGAAACUUUUGGUUUAGAUGUAGCUACAUUAUGUCAAGAAAAGAUGUCCUACUUUAGAAAACAAUUGACAUUUCAAUUAUGGACCAACACUCCUAUGUAUUGACUUUUAGUAACAAAAUUUGAAGGAAUUGUAUAUCAUAUAUGUUGCGAACUAUGUACAUAAAUCAAUUGAUGUAAUGGAAUGAGCACCAUUGUUAUUUUA
This is a long non-coding RNA of Cucumis sativus (cucumber), 3917 nucleotides long. RefSeq lists it as uncharacterized. The record is from RefSeq and is a predicted model, not a curated record. NCBI's taxonomy places the organism in Eukaryota, Viridiplantae, Streptophyta, Magnoliopsida, Cucurbitales, Cucurbitaceae. The transcript is spliced from 7 exons.